This 465-nucleotide ribosomal RNA is filed under the name uncultured bacterium. RNAcentral describes it as "partial 16S ribosomal RNA". It matches the Rfam family "Bacterial small subunit ribosomal RNA", at positions 28 to 507 of the family's 1533-position model. The record is from RNAcentral.
GACGAACGCUGGCGGCGUGCUUAACACAUGCAAGUCGAACGGAAAGGCCCCUUUGGGGGUCCUCGAGUGGCGCACGGGUGAGUAACACGUGAGUAACCUGCCCUUGACUUCGGGAUAACUUCAGGAAACUGGGGCUAAUACCGGAUAGGAAUCCUUGCUGCAUGGUGGGGGUUGGAAAGCUUCGGCGGUUUUGGAUGGACUCGCGGCUUAUCAGCUUGUUGGUGGGGUAGUGGCUUACCAAGGCUUUGACGGGUAGCCGGCCUGAGAGGGCGACCGGCCACAUUGGGACUGAGAUACGGCCCAGACUCCUACGGGAGGCAGCAGUGGGGAAUAUUGCACAAUGGGCGGAAGCCUGAUGCAGCAACGCCGCGUGCGUGAUGACGGCCUUCGGGUUGUAAACCGCUUUCAGCAGGGGCGAAGCUUGUGGUGACGGUACCUGCAGAAGAAGCACCGGCUAACUACGUG